This 1228-nucleotide long non-coding RNA is filed under the name Manihot esculenta (cassava). Its description in RNAcentral is "long non-coding RNA (MESC_LNC007525)". Lineage: Eukaryota; Viridiplantae; Streptophyta; Magnoliopsida; Malpighiales; Euphorbiaceae. The record is from RNAcentral.
CUAAAGUAGAAAGGAAAGAAUAGAAUGGUUAAAAAUAUUAAAUAAUAGAACUCAUAAUAUAGGUUUUCCAGAGUCUUUACCAGCAACAAAGUUCCAACAUCUGGCUUCUCUUUGAGAUUUUCGAGUAUUCCCUCUAGUUGUUUCCUGAAAAGACAGACCAUGUGAAACCUUUUACAGCAGGUACCACAACCACUUAUAGAAAUAAUGCUAUUCAUGGUCCUUCCAAAAUUAAUUUCUCAGAUUCUAACAUGGUGGUGUAAGCCUUUUUAGCCUUAUUUUUCCUUUUAAUAUCUCAACCAGAGAAUGGAUAUAGUAUUUUUAGUUUAAUAUUACAGUAAUAUGUACAAGUCUAGUGGAUGUGUUUAAUUGGUCAACGACCUGGAUAUGACAAGCCUAAUAUUACAAGUCUAUUAGAUGUGUUUAAGUUGGUACGCAACCUGGAUUUAAUGAACCUAAGGAGUAAAAUCCAACAUUAUUCCAAACUAUUAUAAGCAUGCUGCAUUAAAUAAAGUCUGAACAGAUUUAUAUUUAACUUCCCUAUGCAAGUUUAGAUAUGUCAUCCAACUCCAAAUUAUCUUAUUUCCAUCUGGUCAAAACUAAAACACAGGAAGGGCUCACUAAUCAAAUGAAUAGCAUGGCACAGAACAAGUACCCACUUUAACUUCAGUAACUUGUCAUAACCCAGUCUACAGGCAUUUAACAUGGUUCAUAUGUUCUGUUGCUUUUCAUUUCUCUAGUUUUCUAAAAUAAAAUGUAUAACCUGAGUCACACUGUUCAAGUUAUUCAAGCAUGCAAGUAGUUCCUAGAUUUCAAAAGAAAUAUGCAACCUACCAGUGGAGUGGGAAAUUUGAAAUAGAUGGCGGCGAACCUUUGAUGGCGGCGGACGUUGGAUGCCUGCGGCAGUGAACGAGCGUUCCGUUGGACGCAAGUUCAGAUUUCAGUGAGCACGUGGACAGUGAUGCCGAGAAGAAGUUGAUGGCGCAGGACGAUGGAUGCCGGCGACAGUGGAUGGCGGCGAACCGUUGAUAGCGCAGGACGAUGGAUGCCGGCGACAGUGAACGACCGAGAAGAAGUUGGAGGGAAGUUCAGAUUUCAGAGUGCUUUUGAUUUUGAUUUUACAAGCAAAGGAUUUAGGGAUUUCAUUUAGGUUUUGUAUUUGGCUCCAAAAAUUCACUUACGGAUUUCUAACGGGAAAAGGUUCCGUUAAUAUUUCACUAACGGAUUUCUA